RNAcentral lists this long non-coding RNA (2869 nucleotides) under Homo sapiens (human). Its description in RNAcentral is "HSALNT0327235". Lineage: Eukaryota; Metazoa; Chordata; Mammalia; Primates; Hominidae. The record is from RNAcentral.
GAGGACUGAAAGGAGUGGUUGCAUCAGGUCUCCCCCACCCUUCUGCCUCCUGCGGUUGCGGCUUUAUUGUGGCCUCUGCUCCCCUGACACCUGCAUUUCACUUAGCGGGAGAGGCGGUGGCCAACUCAGCACAGGCUGCGGACUCAGCGUGGUGACAGAUCCCUCAAGCUAGAAGACUUCUGUUAGGAGAAGCGUUAUCCUGUCAGUUGAUUACCCUGAGUUAUUAUUAUUGCUGUUUGACAGAUGAAAAACUGACAUGGAGAAAAGUUAGACAAUUCCUCCAAAUCACAAAGAUAGUAAGUUGAAAACUUGUGAAAAGAACUCUGCUAUGUCAUAUUUCAAAGUCUAUGACCUCCCCUAUAUGGUACCUUCACUGAUGCUAUUGAAUUUAAAGCAAAUAAAGGAAAUGAAGCACAGCCCAAGUGUUGAUUGGUGGGAAGAAUAAAACAGUCAGAGUAAAUCUCACAUUGAAUGAACCUCCAGUGUUGUGUUGUUAGUUAGAAUUAAAGUCAUUCUCUAGAGUGUAACUUAAGACAGUAUGUCAUUUAAGGGUCAAGAAAUAGUCUGUUUACUCAGCAUUUAUCAGUCCUUUCUUUCCAAACUUUAAGCUAGCUAUAGAAAAAUUCCAGAGAGCCUGGGGAAAGAAACAAAAGGAAAAUUAGGGAAAAGACUUACAAGGUAUGAAGUAUUAGAGAACAUUUUAAAAGGAUAAUCUAUACGCUAUGUCAUUGAUGGCUGCAGCCAUUCUCUAUGCCCAUAAACUAAAUGGGCCUAACUCUUAACAGUGGCUAUUAGGUUAGUUAGAAGAGGCAUGUUUCUGAAAAUUCCAUAGUGAACUUCAUAGCCAGAGGAAAAUAUCUUAUACUUCUUUCUAUUCAAUCAUCCUUGACUCCGAAAGUGCCUCUUAUUUUCUUUUGGUGGAACAGUGGAAAAAAAAUAUCACACUGGAAGGCCAAUUGACUGAAAUCAAGUCCCUUUUCCUAACUGUGUGAACUGGGUCCUUCACAUCACUAUCCUUCAACAACAAGAAAAACAAAAAACAUCCUAUAAAUGUAUAAAGAAGAAAAUGAAAGUUCUUUCUUUGCUACCCCUAGUUCUCUUCCCCUUCCUAGAGGCUAAACUAUUUUGUGUGCAUGUGUGUGUGUGUGUAGAAUGUACACAUAUAUGUAGGGGAUUGGUUCUAGGACUCUGUCCCCUGUGAAUACCAAAAUUCAGGGACGCCUAAGUUCCUUAUAUAAAAUGAUGCUUAUAACCUACGCACAUCCUCCUGUAUACUUUAAAUAAUCUUGAUUACUUAUAAUAUCUAAAACAGUGUAAAUGCUAUGUAAAUAGUUGUUAUACUGUAUUGUUUAGGAAAUAAUGACAAGAAAAAAGUCUGCACAUGGUCAGAACAGAUUCAACCAUUCUUUUUUUAUAUAUUUUUUUCUGAAUAAUUACAAUCCAUGGUUUGUUGAAUCCACAGAUGCAGAACUGGUGGAUAUGGAGGGCUGACUGUAUACAUGUAUCUUCCCCAUAUAAAUAGAACAAUAUUUUAUAUACUGUUCUUCAAAUGGCAUUUUCCCUUUGAAGCUCUUUUCAAAUAUGUAAAAAUCUAUUUUUAAAAACUGCUGCACAGUAGCUCAUAGAAUGAAUCUACCAUAUUUCCUUUACUCUUUCCCCUCUUGGUGGUCCUUUAGGUGGUGUUUGGUUUUUUUCUAUUAUAAAUAGUGUGCAAUGACCAUGCUUGUAAGUGCUUCUAUACUCAUAUAUGUUUCUCUGAGCACAGAUGCCUAGAUCUAGAAGCCAAACAGAUGGGUUGAAGGUGAUACCUAAUUUUAACAUUUGAUGACUCCUGCCAAAUUACCCUCUGAAAAGAAUUUAACAAUUUAUAUUCCUUCCACAUCAUUGCCUCUUUCCCCACAUCAUAAUGUAAGUCUUCUUAUUUUUUACUCACCAAAGGGAGAGAAAUAUUUACUGUUUAAAACUGAGCACCUUUUAAACUGCUUUUCUUUCUUUAUUGGCUUAACUCUUCAAGAUGUGUCUUUUUUCUGAUUGGACUAUUGUUUUUAUCUUUACUGGCUUUUAGAAGCUCUUUAUAUAAUCUGGAUAAUAAGCUUUCGUCAUCAAUAUAUGUUGCAGAUAUUUCCUCUCAGUGUGUCAUCAGAUUUUGUAUUUAUGUCUAUUUAUUAUGUCUGUGACCAUACAAAUUAUUAAAUUUCUUAUAAGGUUAGGCUAAGCUUCUUUCUUUAUGAGUUAAUGGGGGUUGUCUGUCUUAGAAAGGAUCUCUCAUUCCAAACCUUAAAACUAUUCUCCUAAUAAUUUUAGAUUUGUUCAACUGAGAGAGUGCUUAACUCAGGAGAUCAAUAAAGGUUCAUAGAGGAAGAAGUAUUUGAAAUUGUCCUGGAAGAACAAUAUUUUUCAACAGGCAGAGAUGGAGAAAGGACAAUCUACAUGAACAGAACAGCAUGAGCAAAAAGAACUGGUGUUGUACCAGUAUAUACUUCUGCCAGUAAUAGAUGGGUGGGCUGCUGAUGCCUCAAAAUGUAAGUAUUUUCAAACUUUUAAAUUUUAGCCCAUUUAACAUAAUUUAAAAAUUAUGUCUCUGUGUGAUUUUAGUUCCAUUUCCCUUAUUAUAUAUAAGACUGAACAUCUUGGCAUAUGUUUAAGGGCCAUCUGCAUUUCCUUUUCUGUGCACUGUCAGCUUAUAUGCUUUGCCCAUUUUUUCUAGUAGAUGGUUAGUGUUUUUCUUAUUGAUUUGUAUAUAUUCUGUAUUACUCCUUUAUCACAUUGCCACAAAGAAAUGCCUGAGAUGGUGUCAUUUAUAGAGAAAAGAGGUUUAAUUGGCUCACAGUUCCACAGGCUAUACAGGAAGCAUGGCUGAGGAGGCCUC